GUGUGGACUCAGCAGUCUGUGUGUGUGUGUGUGUGUGUGUGUGGACUCAGCAGUCUGUGUGUCUGUGUGUGUAUGGAAUCAGCAGUCUGUGUGUGUGUGGACUCAGCAGUCUGUGUGUGUGUCUGUGUCUGUGUUAGAGAGUGGGAAGAGCUGUAAUGUGUUCCUGCAGUCUGCUGGGCCCCCUCUGCAAGUACAGGGAGCCGGGGGGCCCCACCAUGCCACCGGACCCUCAACCAUAUAUCUGGCUCGAGAUGUACCUAUUAUCGGACCACAUGCCAACUCUCUGAAAUCACUGUCCACCUUUCAGCCUUCCCCUGGCUGGCUGAGUAUGAGGGGAUCGGAGUCCACAAGUGAUUGUGUGCCGAAGGUUAGAACUUCACUGCUGCAGCCACCAUAUACCAUCACGAAUCCAUACUGAAAUCUUUAUUCCCUAUCCUUACUUAACCAUUUCAUACCCGGAGUCUGUGUAACAAUAUGACUGCUAAUCAUAUUGACUCUCAUAGCUGAACUCUGCAGUGAUGGG
Molecule: non-coding RNA, 523 nt
Organism: Pelobates cultripes (western spadefoot toad)
Lineage: Eukaryota; Metazoa; Chordata; Amphibia; Anura; Pelobatidae
Source: the annotation of a GenBank genome assembly